UGUAGCUUGGUGUGGUUUGUGUGUUGGACUAGAAUUCCGGAGACCAGGGUUCAAUUCCCUGACUAUUG
Molecule: non-coding RNA, 68 nt
Organism: Phrynosoma platyrhinos (Desert horned lizard)
Lineage: Eukaryota; Metazoa; Chordata; Lepidosauria; Squamata; Phrynosomatidae
Source: the annotation of a GenBank genome assembly